RNAcentral lists this ribosomal RNA (1433 nucleotides) under metagenome. RNAcentral describes it as "bacterial SSU rRNA". It matches the Rfam family "Bacterial small subunit ribosomal RNA". The record is from RNAcentral.
AGAGUUUGAUCCUGGCUCAGGAUGAACGCUGGCGGCGUGCUUAACACAUGCAAGUCGAACGAACCUUCGGGUUAGUGGCGGACGGGUGAGUAACGCGUGAGAAUCUGCCCUCAGGAGGGGGAUAACGGCUGGAAACGGCCGCUAAUACCCCAUAUGCCGAGAGGUGAAACGAGUUUUCGCCUGAGGAUGAGCUCGCGUCUGAUUAGCUAGUUGGUGGGGUAAGAGCCUACCAAGGCAUCGAUCAGUAGCUGGUCUGAGAGGAUGAUCAGCCACACUGGGACUGAGACACGGCCCAGACUCCUACGGGAGGCAGCAGUGGGGAAUUUUCCGCAAUGGGCGAAAGCCUGACGGAGCAACGCCGCGUGAGGGAUGAAGGCCUCUGGGCUGUAAACCUCUUUUAUCAAGGAAGAAGAUCUGACGGUACUUGAUGAAUAAGCCACGGCUAAUUCCGUGCCAGCAGCCGCGGUAAUACGGGAGUGGCAAGCGUUAUCCGGAAUUAUUGGGCGUAAAGCGUCCGCAGGCGGCCUGAUAAGUCUGUUGUCAAAGCGUGGAGCUCAACUCCAUUUCGGCAAUGGAAACUGUGAGGCUUGAGUGUGGUAGGGGCAGAGGGAAUUCCCGGUGUAGCGGUGAAAUGCGUAGAUAUCGGGAAGAACACCAGUGGCGAAGGCGCUCUGCUGGGCCAUAACUGACGCUCAUGGACGAAAGCCAGGGGAGCGAAAGGGAUUAGAUACCCCUGUAGUCCUGGCCGUAAACGAUGAACACUAGGUGUCGGGGGAAUCGACCCCCUCGGUGUCGUAGCCAACGCGUUAAGUGUUCCGCCUGGGGAGUACGCACGCAAGUGUGAAACUCAAAGGAAUUGACGGGGGCCCGCACAAGCGGUGGAGUAUGUGGUUUAAUUCGAUGCAACGCGAAGAACCUUACCAGGGUUUGACAUCCUGCGAAUCCCUUGGAAACGAGGGAGUGCCUUCGGGAGCGCAGAGACAGGUGGUGCAUGGCUGUCGUCACCUCGUGUCGUGAGAUGUUGGGUUAAGUCCCGCAACGAGCGCAACCCACGUCUUUAGUUGCCAGCAUUGAGUUGGGCACUCUAGAGAGACCGCCGGUGAUAAACCGGAGGAAGGUGUGGAUGACGUCAAGUCAUCAUGCCCCUUACAUCCUGGGCUACACACGUACUACAAUGCUACGGACAAAGGGCAGCAAACUCGCGAGAGCUAGCAAAUCCCAUAAACCGUGGCUCAGUUCAGAUCGUAGGCUGCAACUCGCCUACGUGAAGGAGGAAUCGCUAGUAAUCGCAGGUCAGCAUACUGCGGUGAAUACGUUCCCGGGCCUUGUACACACCGCCCGUCACACCAUGGAAGUUGGCCACGCCCGAAGCCGUUACUCCAACCCUUGUGGAGGAGGACGUCGAAGGUGGGGCUGAUGACUGGGGUGAAGUC